Molecule: ribosomal RNA, 428 nt
Filed under: uncultured prokaryote
Description: bacterial SSU rRNA
Rfam family: Bacterial small subunit ribosomal RNA
Source: RNAcentral
UGGGGAAUUUUGCGCAAUGGGCGAAAGCCUGACGCAGCAACGCCGCGUGAGUGAUGAAGGCUUUCGGGUCGUAAAGCUCUGUCAAGGGGAAAGAAGUGUAUUAUGGUUAAUACCCAUGAUGCUUGACGGUACCCCUAAAGGAAGCACCGGCUAACUCCGUGCCAGCAGCCGCGGUAAUACGGGGGGUGCAAGCGUUGUUCGGAAUUAUUGGGCGUAAAGCGCGUGUAGGCGGUUUGGUACGUCUGAUGUGAAAGCCCCGGGCUCAACCUGGGAAGUGCAUGGGAAACUGGCAGACUUGAAUACGGGAGAGGGUAGUGGAAUUCCUGGUGUAGGAGUGAAAUCCGUAGAGAUCAGGAGGAACACCGGUGGCGAAGGCGGCUGCCUGGACCGAUAUUGACGCUGAGACGCGAAAGCGUGGGUAGCAAACA